GCUCAGCCGUAAACAAUUAACCUACACCAAUAAGCGCCAGGGAAUUACGAGCCAUGCUUAAACCCAAAGGAUUUGACGGUGUCCCACCCCCCUAGAGGAGCCUGUUCUAUAACGUAGUACCCCGCUAUACCUCACCAUUCCUCACCCGUCUGUAUACCUCCGUCGAAAGCCUACCCUGUGAACGCCAGUAGGCCCAAUGGACCCCCCCCCAUACGUCAGGUCAAGGUGCAGCUCACGGAAUGGGAAGCGAUGGGCUACAAUUUCUAACAUAGAACAAACGAAAACUGUGUGAAAUCAUAUGAUGAAGGUGGAUUUAGUAGUAAAAAGAAAAUAGAGUGUUCUUUUUAACCCGGCUCUGGGACUUCGAUGCUUUCACCUCAUGUACAUAACCCCCUAUCUGCGCCUUAGAAGAGGCAAGUCGUAACAUGGUAAGUGUACUGGAAAGUGCACUUGGAAUAACAAAAUAUAGCUUAA
RNAcentral lists this ribosomal RNA (474 nucleotides) under Amolops granulosus (granular torrent frog). Its description in RNAcentral is "partial 12S ribosomal RNA". It matches the Rfam family "Bacterial small subunit ribosomal RNA", at positions 794 to 1527 of the family's 1533-position model. Lineage: Eukaryota; Metazoa; Chordata; Amphibia; Anura; Ranidae. The record is from RNAcentral.